ACUAGGGCUGUUAAUGAGCCGAGCUGCUCGGGCUCGGCUCGGGCUCGGCUCGGUAAAAGCUCGGCUCGGGCUCGGCUCGGUAGUCAAACGAGCCCGAGCCCGAGCCCAAUAUGAGGCUCGUUUACACUCGAGCCCAAGCCUGAGCUCGAGCCUGAGCAGCUCACGAGCCCAAACGAGCUCUAGUCUUCCACUGAAAAAUCUUAUUUCAGCACCAUAAUUCAUAAAAAUCUAAUCAUAUAGAGAAAAAUAGCUUGUUAUCGAGCCCGAGCCUAAGCUCGAGCCCGAUUACGAGCCCGAGCUCGGGCUCGUUCUAGAGCUCGUAAUUGAAACGAGCUUUACGAGCUCAAGC
This 349-nucleotide long non-coding RNA is filed under the name Phoenix dactylifera (date palm). Its description in RNAcentral is "long non-coding RNA (PDAC_LNC001310)". The record is from RNAcentral. Lineage: Eukaryota; Viridiplantae; Streptophyta; Magnoliopsida; Arecales; Arecaceae.